CCUACGGGUGGCAGCAGUAGGGAAUAUUGCUCAAUGGGGGAAACCCUGAAGCAGCAACGCCGCGUGGAGGAUGAAGGUUUUCGGAGUGGAAACUCCUUUUGAUAGAGAAGAGAAGGACGGUAUCUAACGAAUAAGCAACGGCUAACUCCGUGCCAGCAGCCGCGGUAAUACGGAGGGUGCAAGCGUUACUCGGAAUCACUGGGCGUAAAGAGCGCGUAGGGGGGUUAGCAAGUCAGAUGUGAAAUCCUAUGGCUUAACCAUAGAACUGCAUUUGAAACUGUUAUUCUAGAGUAUGGGAGAGGUAGGUGGAAUUCUUGGUGUAGCGGUCAAAUCCUUA
This 337-nucleotide ribosomal RNA is filed under the name uncultured bacterium. RNAcentral's name for it is "partial 16S ribosomal RNA". It matches the Rfam family "Bacterial small subunit ribosomal RNA", at positions 338 to 692 of the family's 1533-position model. The record is from RNAcentral.